Molecule: ribosomal RNA, 495 nt
Filed under: uncultured bacterium
Lineage: Bacteria
Description: partial 16S ribosomal RNA
Rfam family: Bacterial small subunit ribosomal RNA
Source: RNAcentral
GACGAACGCUGGCGGCGUGCCUAAUACAUGCAAGUAGAACGCUGAAGGAGGAGCUUGCUUCUCCGGAUGAGUUGCGAACGGGUGAGUAACGCGUAGGUACCCUUCCUGGUAGCGGGGGAUAACUAUUGGAAACGAUAGCUAAUACCGCAUAAGAGUAGAUGUCGCAUGACAUUUGCUUAAAAGGUGCAACUGCACCACUACCAGAUGGCCCUGCGUUGUAUUAGCUAGUUGGGGAGGUAACGGCUCACCAAGGCAACGAUACAUAGACGACCUGAGAGGGGGAGAGGAAACACAGGGAGAGAGACACGGCGCAGACUCCUACGGGAGGCAGAAGUAGGGAAAAUUCGGGAAUGGACGGAAGUGUGACAGAGAAAAGCGGCGUGAGUGAAGAAGGGUUUCGGAGCGUAAAGCUCUGUUGUAAGAGAAGAACGAGUGUGAGAGUGGAAAGUGCACACUGUGACGGUAUCUGAACAGAAAGGGACGGCUAAAUAAGUG